UGAAAAUUGCCUAUUCAUGUCCCUUGCCCAUUUAUCAAUUGGAGAAUGGCUUGACUUUUUGAACAAUUGGUUUAGCUCUUUAUAAAUUUGAAUAAUUAGACCUUUGUCAGAUAUUUUUGUUAGGAAGAUUGCUUCCCAGUUGGUUGCUUCCCUUCUAAUUUUGGUUGCAUUGGUUUUGUUUGUAUAAAACCUUUUUAAUUUGAUGUAGUCAAAAUUAUUUAUUUUACAUUUUGUGACUCUUUCUAAGUCUUGCUUGUUUUUAAAAUCUUUCCCUUCCCAAAGGUCUGACAUGUAUUCUAUUCUGUGUUUUCCUAAUUUGCUUAUAGUUUCCUUCUUUAUAUUCAAGUCAUUCACCCAUUCUGAGUUCAUCUUGGUAUAGGGUGUGAGAUGUUGAUCCAAACCUAAUCUCUCCCAUACUGUCUUCCAAUUUUCCCAGCAGUUUUCAUCAAAUAGUGGAUUUUGGUCCCAAAAGCUGGGGUAUUUGGGCUUAUUAUAGACUGUCUUGCUGAAGUAACUUACCAAGUCUAUUCCAUUGAUCUUCCUUUCUGUCUCUUAGCCAGUAACAUAUUGUUUUAAUGACUACCGCUUUAUAGUAUAGUUUGAGAUCUGGGACUGCAAGUCCUCCUUCCUUUGCAUUUUUCACAAAGUCUUAAAUGAUUAAACAACAACAAAAAAUGUGGGGAUGGAAGCAAAAUUGCAAGGUUUUGAGGAGAUGGUGACCCUUGAGUCUACCCUAUUCUUUGUAUGGAAUUACAGAACUUCAGAACUGGAAACAAUUUUAGAGAUUAAUGUAAUCCUUUAUACAGAUAUGAAAACUGAAGCCUAAAGAAACAAAAUGAACUGCCCAGGGCAUGUAGCUAUUGUGUAAGACUGAUAUUCAAACCAAGCCCCAACAUUCUUCCCCCUAGACCAUUCUUUCUCAUGAGCCAGAAAUUUGGCAGUGAAAGGGUAAAGAUAUAAGGUGAUCUUUUGAAGGUUGGGAAGUUUUUUGCUUUUUUUACAAGAGCCUGAGCAUGUUUAUAAGAUGAAGGGAAAGGACUAAUAGAAAAGGAGAGAUUCUGAAGAUGUCUGAGAGAAUGGUAGAUCAAUCAAACAAGAAAGAGAAGAAAUGUAAGGGAAUCAUUGAAGAAGCUGAAAAGGUUAGAAAAAAGAGAAAGGUGCGAUGAAGAUUCACACUAGACCAUUACAGACUUUUUAGUAAAUUAGGCAAGAAAGUCAUUUGCUGAGAAUGAAAAGCCAUUGGAAAAGCCAUUGUCAGGGAUAUAUUGGUAUAUAAUUUAGCGAGUAUUCCUCCACUAGUUUUAGCACAUAGCCACAGUGCCUGACACAUAGUAGGCACUUAAUCAAUAUCUGUUGACUUGGUAUAGAUGCUAAUAGCAGAUAGUCUUUUAAGAGCUUCUGUGGGUAAAAAACUCAUUCAUACUUAAAAUUGGUUUGUCCUCAGAUGACUUGCUAAAGCUUGCAAUCUUCUGGCAGAGUCUUUGGAACUCAGAGUUCUCUUUACUAUUAUGAGGCUUUGGAGAGAUAGGACUUGAUUCAGAGCUUCUCUUAAUGAUUUUAAUAUCAUAUCCAUUGCUUUUGCUACCAUGUCACACAUGUGACUUGAUACUAAGCUUUCAGUUUCCCCAAACUUCAUAACUUUAUCAUACCAGCUAUUGUCUAGCUAUGGUGAAUGAGAUUUUUAAAAAAUACGUGCAUGUGACUUUGCAUUUACUCUUAUUGAAUUUCACUUUCAAUAUAUUCAACCCAUUGUCCUAGCCUAUUGCAAUUUUUAAUGUUUGGAUCCUGGCCUUGUUAUCACACAGAUAAAGGUCAGAGUUACUCUUAGCAGAUCUAGGAAAGUUUUAUUAGGUUCUAUUGCUUUUAAAUGGGCAGUGAGGUGUUACAGUGAACUGAAUGCUUGGCCCUGAGUCAGGAAGAUUCCUUUUUCUGAGUUCAAAUCCAACCCCAGAUACUUACUAACUAUGGGGUACUAGGUAAGUCGCUUAAUCCUGUUUGCCUCAAUUUCCUCACCUAUGAGUUGGAGAAGGAAAUGUCCACCUAUUCCAUUAUCUUUGCCAAGAAUACUCCAAAUGGAAUCACAAAGAGUUGGGCACAAUUGAACAAUAAUAGCAACAAACAUUGCUUUUAAGCUGGAUAUUUACUUGAGGAAGGAAUCUAUAGUUAAUGUUUGAUUGAAUCCUCUGAUAUAUAAAAGUUAAUAAGGAAUUCAUAGAGAUCCCCCUAAUAAAAAACACUGUGCUUCUCUAUGGCCA
This 2255-nucleotide long non-coding RNA is filed under the name Monodelphis domestica (gray short-tailed opossum). Its description in RNAcentral is "lncRNA (ENSMODG00000037220.1)". Lineage: Eukaryota; Metazoa; Chordata; Mammalia; Didelphimorphia; Didelphidae. The record is from RNAcentral.